UACGUAGGGUGCGAGCGUUAAUCGGAAUUACUGGGCGUAAAGGGCGCGUAGGCGGCCUUCUAAGUCAGACGUGAAAUCCCCGGGCUCAACCCGGGAACUGCGUCUGAGACUGGAAGGCUUGAAUCCGGGAGAGGGAUGUGGAAUUCCAGGUGUAGCGGUGAAAUGCGUAGAUAUCUGGAGGAACACCGGUGGCGAAGGCGGCAUCCUGGACCAACACUGACACUGAGGAGCGAAAGCCAGGGGAGCAAACGGG
RNAcentral lists this ribosomal RNA (253 nucleotides) under uncultured bacterium. Its description in RNAcentral is "partial 16S ribosomal RNA". It matches the Rfam family "Bacterial small subunit ribosomal RNA", at positions 524 to 776 of the family's 1533-position model. The record is from RNAcentral.